CCCCAGUACGUUGAAGAAGAAGGUGAAGAAGAUCUCAUCCAGAAAGCCGUGCAUUCCGAAGAAAAGAAAGCGGGGAUGGUGUUUCCCUUCCUGUUUGCUGAUCCACUGGGGCUGUCCCAGAAAGAGAACUACAACGCUACUCUUUCCCAUGCCUUGCUUGUCCACAGGCUGUGAGAGCUGCUGUCAGCUUCCAGAUGGUGCCUUAUUGCUACAUCCUUUAAGGUGUUGAACCCUGUGUCUUCACAUGGCCAAAAGAAGAGAAGGGUAAAAAGAGCCUUGCUAGUUCCCUCUAGCCCUUUUAUAAGGUCAUAGGAAAUGAAACAGACUGCUGUUUUCAUGAGGAGCAUUUACAGAGGGAAAUAAGGACACUCACCAAAUAGGGCUAAUUUGAAGAAGGACACAGCUGACUUAGUAGGAAGAAGGCAGAAGAAUUAUCUCCUGGUAAUCAAGACUCUGAAAAUAAGACUUAAGAUAAAAGACUGGAUACAUGCAAGAACAGAGUUCUUAAAGAUCACCAGCUGAAGAUUGUGAUUUUUCAUUCUUCUAUGCCCUAAGACAGCCAUAUUUUACCAUUUGAAACAUAAAUAAAAAUGACUUCCAGGCUUAUGACCUGUUCUCGAGCCUAAGAAUCUCUUGGGCCACCCAGCCCCACAGAGGCCAGUAGGAGGUCAACUCUCCACCUCCCUAAAAAAAAAAGAAACGAGUGUGCGAGAAGUAUGUUGUAAUUGAAGUAGCAUACUGCCUGACACCCAAGAGGUUGCUCUGUAAGUGGAUUGCCUUUCACCUCCUGCCAUGAUUCUGAGGCCCCCAGCCAUGUGGAACUGGAGAAGGGAGAUGAAAUAAUACCAGCAUCCUGAACCUGAAUGUCCAGCUUCGCCUUGUUCUUUGUGGAUUAUAAGACCAUUGAUUAAAUAAAUCCUUUCAUCAAAAUUAUCUUGAAAAAGAAACUACCAUCUAAAUCCAGUUAUUCCAUCUGACUUGGUAGCAGUGAUGUUUGGAGUUUAGGACCUAAAGGUGAAAUGGUAUAUGUACAUAUAUACAUAUGUACUCACACAGACACAUACACACACACACAUAUGUAUGUGUGUUGCCUGGAAAGCAAGUGUGUAGAAAUCGUGGGAUUAGGAUUAGGAUUAUGGGGAUCUAACUGCGUCCAUGUCAUUCUUGGAGAAACAGUUCUAAGAACAAAUGCUGAAGGCAAACAAAUGAUGCAUUCUCAAAUGAAAGAGGUCUGAACUGAGAUUGUGCCCAUCAAUUCCUGAGAAGAGAAUUUUAACAAAACGCAGCUGAAAGAGAUGCAAGCUAAAGCCAGGCCACAAAUUUUAUUUACUUAAAAAUAUCAGGGAGCAUCCAUUUUUCCUCUUUCAACAUGACAUGUAAGACAAAGCAUACUGUUGAAAAGAAAAAUAAAAUGAUGUUUUAAUAACUCAAAGAAGGAACACGUACAUGAAAGUGGUUUCUCACUGGAAUCUGCAAUAGUAACAAAGGAGACAGUGAGCAUCAAACAUCUGGGUUGUGGGCUCCCAUACACUUCCAUGAGAUUAUCCAGAAAACCAUGAAUUCUUGGGUGAGUGGGCAAUUUUCCUGAUAAGAGUGGAUGGCUACAAGAAAGGCAUCACCCCAACACUGGCCAGACUUUCACCUAUAAUCUUGGGUUAGUUGUCUCAUUGAGUAGAACAGAAAAAUAGCAUCAAUAUGAAUUAUUUUUUAAGGAGGUAACUUUAGGAUUUUUCUUCUGAGCAACACACAAGCAAAAAAGAAAAAAAAAAGAAAAAAGAGAAAAACCACUGACCAUAAAUGGCUUAAUCUCCAGGCCCAGCCUCCAGUGUUGCUCCAGAUUCAAACUGACAUUUGAUGACAAUAUAAGACAUUCAUCUUUUGUGAAUCUAUUGUGAGAAAUAGGGAAUCUAUUUCUCUAUGGUUUUUUAGUAGUGUGGGCCAAACUGUGUCUCUUCUCCCCAAAGUUAACGUGCUGAAACACUAACCUUCAGUACUUCAGAAUGUGAUAUUACUGGGAACAGGGCCUUUAAAGAGGCAAUUAAGUGAAAAUGAGGCAAUGAAGGUGGGCCCUAAUUUAAUUUUAAUGGUGUUCUCAUAUACAGGGGAAAAUCUGGGUGCUCGGAAAGACACCAGAAGCACACAGAAGAAGAUCAUAUGAAGACACAACAAGAAGGUGACUAGCUGCAAGCCAAGAAGAGAAGCCUCAGAAGAAAUCAAACGUACUAGCACCUUGAUCUUGGAAUUCCAGUCUCCAAAGCUGCGAGAAAAUAAAAUUCUGUUGCUUAAGCUGCCAAGACUAUGGUAUUUUCUUAUGGCAAUCUUAGCAAAAUAACCCUAUUAGCAAACAAAUGCAUACAAAAUCUCUGUAAAUACAGCAGGUUUCCUUUUUAAAAAAACUCUUUAUUUUGAAAAAUUAUAGUUCUACAACAAAUAAUAAAAAAGAUAUACAGGAUGGUCCUAUUUACUCUUGACUCAGUUUCCCUUAUAGUAACAUCUUAUAUAACUACUAGGAAAAUGAUGUUGAUACAUUCCACAUAUCUUGUUAAAAUUUAACCAGUUUUACAUGUAUUAGUUUGUUCUAUGCAAUUUUCUUGCAUGUGUAGACCCAUGUUACCACUACCAUAGAGAAAAUCCAGAAUCAUUCCAUCACCAGAGGCUCCUUCAUGCUGUCUCUUUAUACUCAUUCUUACCUCUUUCUCUAGCUCAUCCCUAACCCCUCACAACCAUUAAUCUGUUCUCCAUCUCUACAACCCUGUUAUUUCAAGAAUGCCAUAUAAUGAGAAUCAAAAUUAAGUGAACUUUUGGGACUAUUUUCACUCAGAAUAAUUCUCUUGAAAUUCAGCCAAGUUAUUGUGUGCAACAAUAACUCAUUCCUUCUUAUUGCGGAGUAGUAGUCCAUGAUAUGGAUGCACUACAGGUUCCUUAACCACUUACUAGGAUAUUACAGUUGUUUACAGUUUGAAGCUAUUAUGACUAAAGCUGACGCUCACAUUUAUAUAUAAGUUUUUAUACAGAAAUAUGUCUCCAUUUCUCUGGAAAAAAAAUCCCAAGGGUACAAUUGCCGAGUCAAAUGUUAAGUGAAUGUUUACUUUAAAAGUGUUAUAUUGUUUUUUAGAGUGGGUGUACCAUUUUACAUUACCAUCAGCAAUGUAUAAGAGGUCCUGUUUCUCAGUAUCAGGCAAUAGAUAAUGUAUGUGCCAUGUAUACGUUUCCAGAACAUGAAAGUAUAGGAAUCUUCUUUUAUUUUAUUAUGUUAGCAUACCCUUCACACUCAAACCUAGCUGUGUGCUGAAAAGGUGAUUCUCUGGAAUUUAAGGAACUUAAAACCCCUGAUUUAUAGCAACUGCAUAUUUUCCAGUUGUGGCUAUUUCCCACCGUGGUUUUCAAACUACCCACAUGACUUAAUUGAAAGUGAAUUAAGGAAAAAAAUACUCACAAGUAGUUCUCACACAGUUCUCACUGGCACAAGCCAGUUCCAGCACACUGCUGCACAUACACAAACAUAUGCACACAUGCAUACACACAUAUAUACACACAUGCAUAUUCACAGACACAUAAAAACACAGAUGCAUAGAGACACCAGAUUUAUCUCCUUCAUUCGUACAGAUGGACCAUUAAAUAAGAUGACAAGAUGAAUUUAAUAGCAUGACAUAAUCAAAUAUAGAGACAGAUAUAAAAUACAUAGAGUAUGAAACUAUGAAACAAUUUUGGAAAUAAAAGUGUAUAUUAAUGUGCAAAUAUAUGUAUAGAAUAUGAGACUGAAAACACCAAAAUGUUGAUACUGUUUAUUUCUGGGUAGUUGGAUGACAAGUGAAUUUAGUUUUUCUGAUUGUGCUUUUCUUUAUCUUUAAGGAACAUGUUUUCUUUUAAUCAGAAAGAAAUAAUUACAUAUAUAUGUAAUUAACAUAUAUUGUAUAAUAUAUAUCACAUAUAUUCCACAUAUAUGGAAUAUAUAUUGUGUUUUAAAGUUUAAAAUGUGAGGAGACCACGUCAAUGAGGAACUUGGAACCAAGUAAAACAUGGAUGGAUAUGUGACAAUAUUGUGGAAUAGAGUGAAAAUUCAGCUCAGAAAUAGUGAAGCUUAUUUUAAAUGGAAACUAAAAUAAGAUCAUGUGGAUUAAAUUAGAGAUAUUUCCAGGAGAAGAUAUGUUUGAGCAUAACUUUCCUCUCCUCCCUAUCUGAGGAAAAUUCUGGAAGAGACUUCAUACGUAUCUAUAUUUGUAUCUAUGUCAGAAAAGGAGAGAAGUAAGGCCUGGGAGGCAGCUUGCUGUUGUGAAAGGAAAAUGAAGUCAGAUGAUCCUUAAUUUGGAUACUCUUUCUUACCAUUUGGGGCAAGUUACUUCCUCAAAGCCUCAAUUUCUUCUUCUCUAGCAUGAGAUUAAUAUUUGUGAUUCAUCAGAAGGUUAAACAAAGCAAUUUUUACAAAGUAAAAAGCAAAUUUUACAAAGAAGGCUUUCAUUUUGUUCUGUCCUAUUUUAUUCUAAAUUAUGGUAUGUUACCCAAAUCCCAGUGGGAGCUUUUGUGAGUGAAUGACAUUAAAAAAUUACUGGAACAGGAAAUAUUUCCCUUUAAUGAACUAGAUGAGAUUUUUUAAAAAAAAACCACUAAUUAUGUAUUUUACAUUAUGGAAACAGAGAUUAUAUAAUGAUAAAAAGAUGUGUAUUAUAUUUUAAAAAAUAGUUACAAAAAGUAAAUCUUUUGUUUUCAUGUGAU
RNAcentral lists this long non-coding RNA (4713 nucleotides) under Homo sapiens (human). RNAcentral's name for it is "HSALNT0128413". Lineage: Eukaryota; Metazoa; Chordata; Mammalia; Primates; Hominidae. The record is from RNAcentral.